This is a long non-coding RNA of Paramisgurnus dabryanus, 2608 nucleotides long. RefSeq lists it as uncharacterized. The record is from RefSeq and is a predicted model, not a curated record. Lineage: Eukaryota; Metazoa; Chordata; Actinopteri; Cypriniformes; Cobitidae.
CACCCCCAUGCUUCACAGUAGGGAUGGUGUGUUUGGGAUGGUACUCAUCAUUCUACUUCCUCCAAACACGUUUAGUGGAAUUAUGACCAAAAAAUUCUAUUUUGGUCUCAUCUGACCAAAUUACUUUCUCCCAUGACUCCUCUGGAUCAUCCAAAUGGCAAACAUUGGCAAACUUAAGACAGGCCUGGACAUGUGCUGGUUUAAGCAGGGGAACCUUCCCUGCCAUGCAUGAUUUCAAACCAUGACGUCUUAGUGGAUUACUGAUUUUGAAGCAGUUGAUGGUAAAACUUUGGAAGAAACAGUACAGCAUCUUAAAACAACAACCUGCACCCUUGACACACUCCCAACAUCUUUUUUCAAAAGUGUCUUUAACUGUUUAGAAGCAGAUCUCCUAGAAGUGGUAAAUUCAUCACUUAUCUCUGGGACUUUUCCAAAGUCCCUUAAAACUGCAGUUGUUAAGCCCCUCCUGAAAAAGAGCAACUUGGAUAACACUGUGUUGAGCAACUACAGACCAAUCUCUAAUCUUCCUUUCAUAGGCAAGAUCAUUGAAAAAGUUGUUUUUAAUCAACUGAACAAAUUCUUAAUUUCUAAUGGUUACUUUGACAUUUUCCAAUCUGGUUUCCAACCGCACCACAGUAGAGCUGAAGAUCUUUGCCCGAACCCGACAGGACCCGUCGGGACCCGACGGGCUCGGGCGGGUUCGGGCUUCCUUUCUAACAUUUUACACGGGCUCGGGGCGGGCUCGGGCUUGCGCUCCGGCUUUGUGAGGUAAAUGAGCGGUCAAGUUCAAUCAGUAGCGCAGGAUCGCGCUGAAUUCAUUUACAGUGGAUUGGAUUUAAUGAUUUUCCUCAUCAAAAACAUGUAGCCUAAUCUUGGUGAGUAGGUUUUUCAAUGUAUAACUAAAUAUGAAUCGAGUCUUAAAUACAUAAUUUAGACAGAGGAUAUAGACUAAUGUUGGCAGUAAUGGAGAGAAGUGCCGACGCAAAUCCCGCGGAGCCUUUCUCUUAAUUUCGUUAUUGCCAAAUACCCAUCUUAAUUCAGAAUGUAUUAUCUUAAUUUAAUUCGUUAAGAAAUAAUAAUUUUAUUGGCAUAUUUAUAGUGUAUUGCAUAAGCCUAUUUAGAAUGAGAUGUUACAAUGUUACAGAUGACUUAUUUUAUUUCUUUGUUUCAACUUCCAAGUGGCGUGUAGAUUAUUAGUCAUGAAUAAAUAAUGUUAAAACCUGUGUAAAUUUCUCAUUCUUGACAAAAGCUGUGUGUGUGCGCACAUUUAAAUAAUGUCGGGCUGUAAACGGGUUCGGGCUUUUAAAUAGCUGUCAAUCUAAAUGUACGUUCGGGUUCGGGCUGCAUUCUGUCGGGCUCCGGACAUUUCGGGCCUAACUUUUAAGGCCCGAUUACAGCUCUACACCACAGUACAGUGACAGCGCUCAUAAAGAUAAUAAAUGAUAUUCGCCUCAAUACAGACACAGGCAAACUAUCAGUGCUGGUGCUACUCGACCUCAGUGCUGCUUUUGACACUGUCGAUCACAACAUACUUCUUGACAGGCUGGAAAACUGGGUCGGGCUUUCUGGGAUGGUCCUAAAAUGGUUCAGGUCAUACUUAGAAGGGAGAGGUUAUUAUGUAAGUAUAGGUGGCCAUAAAUCUGAGUGGAGAUCCAUGACAUGCGGAGUCCCGCAAGGCUCAAUUCUUGCGCCACUCCUGUUCAACCUGUAUAUGCUCUCACUAAGCCAAAUAAUGAGAGAGAAAAAAUUGCCUAUCACAGUUAUGCAGACGACACCCAGAUCUACUUAGCUCUAUCCCCUAACGACUACAGCCCCAUUAGCCGUGUUUGCACUAUCGGGCUUCAAGCGGGCGUGCCAGUGCCUGCCGAGGCCUGUGGCGUUUGCAUUGUCACUUCCGGGGCAUGAUCGUGCUUCACUGGUGCUUCGUUGGGGCUUAAGGCCCGGCUUUUCUGGCCCGCCGAAUUCCUUGGGCCAGAGCGGGCUUCUCGGGGCUAGGGGAGUGGUAAAGGUCAAAGGCGGAGUUUAUCUGAGUCUCUGGCAAGAUGCGCAUCCAUCUGUCUGCAGAUUUAAAACUUUUAAAAUAUUCGGGAUCACCAGUAAUUUACUGUUUAACGGAAGAUCCCUGCUAUGUUUGUACUUCAGACUGAAGAAAAUGAUCUGCAUAUGUAAAAAACAAAAGACGCGUUAUGACGCCGAACUCGCCAUGCUAAGGACCCGGCGCACACCGCUACCGGUUCGGGAGAAGUUUAUAAAGUUUCGGGCACAGAACAAAGUGUUUAAAGUGCAACAGUGCUGAGAAAUUAAGGAUGUGUGUUGAAUCAUCAUUUCAUCGUCCAUGUAUUAAAGAAGCGAUCACUCUAGUCACGAUGGUAUCUACAGUCGAAAAAUGCCAACGUAAAGCUUUCAGUUUGUCAUCCAGGAGUUUUUAUUUAGUAUAUGAGAGAUGACACAGCAACAAAUGCAAGAGCAGGAGAUGAAACGAAGAUGAUGAUGAUGAGACGACAGGAGCCAUGGAUCUUAAAAUCUGUCCGGAGGAGAUGUCUUUAAAUACACCUGUUUGUGCACUGAUAUAAACUUCAUAUGUAAAUAAAGUACCGCGUUAUUAUUA